UUUCCGUAGGUGAACCUGCGGAAGGAUCAUUAACAAUUUGAAUUUGGUUUGACCAAUACAAUGAGGAGAUUUUGGUGUGACUUGUCACGCCAAAAUCGAGUCAUUGUGAUUGGUCAAUUCCUUUUUAAAAACCCCAAACAUUGUGUGCACCAUUUAUAAACACCACAAAAGAAAACGAAUCUUAUGUAUCAUCAAAAAUACAACUUUUAACAACGGAUCUCUUGGCUCUC
Molecule: unclassified non-coding RNA, 230 nt
Filed under: plant metagenome
Description: partial contains small subunit ribosomal RNA, internal transcribed spacer 1, and 5.8S ribosomal RNA
Source: RNAcentral